This 560-nucleotide ribosomal RNA is filed under the name Nigrospora sp. HPFJ3. RNAcentral describes it as "eukaryotic LSU rRNA". The stretch from base 188 to 341 matches the Rfam family "5.8S ribosomal RNA". Lineage: Eukaryota; Fungi; Ascomycota; Sordariomycetes; Amphisphaeriales; Apiosporaceae. The record is from RNAcentral. RNAcentral also lists the same sequence under 1 other name.
UUCCGUAGGUGUACCUGCGGAGGGAUCAUUACAGAGUUAUCCAACUCCCAAACCCAUGUGAACUUAUCUCUUUGUUGCCUCGGCGCAAGCUACCCGGGACCUCGCGCCCCGGGGCGGCCCGCCGGCGGACAAACCAAAACUCUUGUUAUCUUAGUUGAUUAUCUGAGUGUCUUAUUUAAUAAGUCAAAACUUUCAACAACGGAUCUCUUGGUUCUGGCAUCGAUGAAGAACGCAGCGAAAUGCGAUAAGUAAUGUGAAUUGCAGAAUUCAGUGAAUCAUCGAAUCUUUGAACGCACAUUGCGCCCAUUAGUAUUCUAGUGGGCAUGCCUGUUCGAGCGUCAUUUCAACCCCUAAGCACAGCUUAUUGUUGGGAACCUACGGCUUCGUAGUUCCUCAAAGACAUUGGCGGAGUGGCAGUGGUCCUCUGAGCGUAGUAAUCUUUUAUCUCGCUUCUGUUAGGUGCUGCCCCCCCGGCCGUAAAACCCCCAAUUUUUUCUGGUUGACCUCGGAUCAGGUAGGAAUACCCGCUGAACUUAAGCAUAUCAAAAACCGAGGAAGGA